GUUAUACAUAAGCAACGUAUUAGACGUAAGUGUAUUUUAAACUAUAUUUUUUAGAUAGUAUAUAGUAAAUACAAGUUGUAUUUUUUUUAUAUGCUUUAUAUUGUUAAAUGUACAUUUUAUUCAGAACAGAAUGUGUUUUAUUGCGUAAAACUCAGCAUCUACUGUUUUACUGAAUGUAAUACAAUUCUCCUUUCAUCUUGUUCAUGUUCGAUCGUACCUUUCGUCAAAUUGUAAGAUUCUUGUAAGAAAGCUCUAGCAAAUCGAACGCCAUAUUUUUCCUGUUGGACUGGAGAAUUUCAAAAGAAGCCCUGUCUUUAACAUGUAUAAACAAAUUCAAAUUUUGGCUAGGAUUAACUUAUGUAUAAUUCUGACAAUUUCAAAAAUGAUUUAUCGACUUAGCCAGAAAGAGUAUAUUUUUAGGUAUCAAAUUAUGAAGUAAUCUUUAUCAUGCAUAGAGUGUGUGAAACGGAUCAUUAUUCUAAUAAGAAUACAUCAUUCCAUUAACUAAUUUUCUGAAAAUUCUAUGCAAUAACUGAUAAUUUUCUUUCUAUAUUUAGAACGAUUGGUAUAACCGAUUCUAUAUAUAGAUCUCCAAAAUAAGAAAGUGUUAUCAUUGUUCAACGACUACUUUGAACUAAGGUAAGCAUUUUAACACAUUUUGUUCAUAUCAUAAUUCAUCUAUAAUAUACGCGAAAUAUAUGUUAUUACUGUUUUUUUAAAUGUUCAUCCUUAUAAAACACUAGUAAACUUCGUGUAAAACAGAGGAACGACAAAGGUGUACUGACUGAAAUACAUUUUAUCAGGGUACUUUAAAAAAAAUAUAUAUAUUUCAAGUCUGUAUUUUCAAAUUAGAGAUGUGGAUAAACUCAUCAUUCAUACCAGGAUUGAAAUUUUAUAUUUACGCCAAACGCGCGUUUCGUCUACAAAAUGCUCAUCGGUGACGCUCGAAUAAAAAAUGUUAAGAGUAUGCUGUCUCAGUUUAAUAACCAAUGAACCGCUAAAACUAUCUUACUCACUUUUACUGAUGACCACAUGGAUGUCAAUUUCGAAUUGACGAUUUUCACAUUUGCCGAUUGACACCGAUGAGACUGAAAAAUAUGCACAGAACGUGGUGGGUCAAACACACAUGACAGUUUCUUCAAGAUAAAAAAAUAACCUUUUGACAGCUCUUUUCUUGUUCACUGAUUUUACUGAUAACUGUAAUAAUAUAAUAUUCUAUUGUUUAUUUUUAGAUCAUAUAUUCUCGUCAACAAUGGGAUGUACAUGUAAAAGAGUGUUCUUCAUAACUGGACUGAUAAUUAUGGAAUUGAUUGACCUUGGUCUAGACUGGGACUUUUUCGUUGAAGUAAAUAAAACGGACCAAGAGAAAAUUCAAAGUGAAACCGAACUGAAAUAUUUAAUCCUAGCAUUUGCAGUUGUAGGAACACUUACUUUUAUACUUCAACUUGUUGCUAUAUACUAUGAUUCUAAGCAGAAUUACUCACAUUUAACAUACUCAAUAACGAUGUCAUUUAUUUCAACGUGGCUUGAAGAUAUCCCCCAAAUUAUCUUGGCUAUUUGGGUAGCAAGUAUUUCAUCCGAUCUUAUUUCCUAUGUACAAUAUGCGAAAGCAUCAUAUGCAAUCUUGGAAGCAUUACUCCAUUUUGGAGUUACAAUUUGGCAACUAUGUUGUAAAAAAUAAAAGUUCAAGUACAAAAGAAAUAGUGAUUGUCUUAUGGCAUUACUCGUCCUUGAUCUUAUUGGCGGCAUCCUACUUCUCGGAGCGUCUGUAUUCCUUCUAAUAGAACUACGCUUUGACAAAUAUUAUUGAAACUAGUCACUGUUCAUAUAAAUAGUACUCAAAAUAGUAAUAUUUUUUAGGAUUAUGUGUAUAUGUUAUCAGACAUUGUAUGUAUAUGUUAUAAGUAGGCUUAUAAGACAUUGUAUGUAUAUGUUAUCAGACAUUGUAUGUAUAUGUUAUAAUACAUUGUAUGUAUAUGGUAUAUGGC
RNAcentral lists this long non-coding RNA (1988 nucleotides) under Mytilus galloprovincialis (Mediterranean mussel). Lineage: Eukaryota; Metazoa; Mollusca; Bivalvia; Mytilida; Mytilidae. The record is from RNAcentral.